CACUUUUAUAGGAGUUAAGGCAGAUGUGGAGGCGCAACGGGUGAUACCAGACACACACCAAGCACAUUAUGUUUGGACAUUCAAUCAUGACAUGAUCCAGGUGGAUGCUGUCCAUUGAGGAAAGAGUUUGUUUAGCGGUUUCUGGAUAGAAUUAAUUCCAAAGAUGGGAAAAAGUGCACAUCCAGACAAGGAGCAAGCAAAAAGACAAGGAACUUGGUGCAGAGAAAAGCUGUGGCCAUUAACCCCUGUGAACAGCUUCAUGCAGUCGCUGAUUGAGUUCGAAUGGACGACUUCAGUAAAGGCCACUGUGGUCUGUCUGCCACAGUUUAAUUUUUAAUUUAUUUUUAGUGUUCAAUGAAAUUCAAGUAGAAUAUUUAAAACUAUGGGCCAGUGUUGUUUUUACCACGGUGAAAUGUUACCUUUUAGUCGAUGAUGGACUUUAAACUGAAAACUUCAAACUAUGGAACAGUGUUCUAUUUGCCAGAGUUAAAUAUGUUACAGCAGGGGUCUCCAAACUUGUUUAUACUUGUUGAUUUUAUUUUAUGUUACUUGAUUAUAUGUUUAUUAUUGUUUAAAAUCUUGUUUUAAAUAUGUUUGUUUCAAUUAAAUGUUUUUUUUAAUAAAAUUUUGAUACAAACAUUGCUUGGAUUGCCUUUUAAUUCAUUAUGUUUUAAUUUAGCAUUUUUACCAUAUUAAUAACUAUAGAUUUAAACCUAAAUCUCUAGCUAUUUUAUAUAAUAUUAUUGUAUUAACUGUAAUAAGUAAUAAAUAGUAUUUAUGGGUCAAUAUAGACAUUACAGUAAAUUACUGUAAAAAUAGACUACUGUAAUAAAAUAUUGUAAAAUUACAGUACAGUACUGCUUUGUAACUAUACAGUACUAGUUUGUGUACUGUAAAAUGGUAUUACAGUACAGUACUGUAAAACCAAAAU
Molecule: non-coding RNA, 931 nt
Organism: Paramisgurnus dabryanus
Lineage: Eukaryota; Metazoa; Chordata; Actinopteri; Cypriniformes; Cobitidae
Source: RefSeq, a predicted model, not a curated record